GGUUGCGAUCAUACCAGCACUAAUGCACCGGAUCCCAUCAGAACUCCGUAGUUAAGCGUGUUUGGGCGAGAGUAGUACUAGGAUCGGUGACCCCCUGGGAAGUCCUCGUGUUACAACCC
This 119-nucleotide ribosomal RNA is filed under the name Helianthus annuus (common sunflower). Lineage: Eukaryota; Viridiplantae; Streptophyta; Magnoliopsida; Asterales; Asteraceae. The record is from RNAcentral.